AGCGACGCCGCGUGGGCGAUGAAGGCCUUCGGGUCGUAAAGCCCUUUUCUGGGGGAAGAGAAAGGACGGUACCCCAGGAAUAAGCCCCGGCUAACUACGUGCCAGCAGCCGCGGUAAAACGUANGGGGCAAGCGUUAUCCGGAUUAACUGGGCGUAAAGAGCGUUGAGGCGGUUUUGUAAGUUGGGCGUGAAAGCCCUGGGCUUAACUCAGGGAAGCCGUUCAAUACUGCGAAACUUGAGGGCAGCAGAGGGAGGUGGAAUUCCCGGAGUAGCGGUGAAAUGCAUAGAUAUCGGGAGGAACACCAGUGGCGAAGGCGGCCUCCUGGGCUGCUCCUGACGCUGAAGGCGAAAGCUAGGGGAGCGAACGGGAUUAGAAACCCCGGUAGUCCUAGCCGUAAACGAUGGAUGCUAGGUGUGGGGGGUGUAGAUUCCCUCCGUGCCGCAGUUAACGCGUUAAGCAUCCCGCCUGGGGAGUACGGCCGCAAGGCUAAAACUCAAACGAAUUGACGGGGGCCCGCACAAGCAGCGGAGCGUGUGGUUUAAUUCGAUGCUACACGAAGAACCUUACCUGGGCUUGACAUACAGGUAGUAGUGAAGUGAAAGCGGAUCGAUCCUUCGGGGAGCCUGUACAGGUGCUGCAUGGCUGUCGUCAGCUCGUGCCGUGAGGUGUCGGGUUAAGUCCCGUAACGAGCGCAACCCUUGCUCUUAGUUAUACGUGUCUAAGAGGACUGCCGGCGGUAAGCCGGAGGAAGGUGGGGAUGACGUCAAGUCAGCAUGGCCUUUAUGUCCAGGGCUACACACACGCUACAAUGGCCGGUACAAUGGGUAGCUAAACCGCGAGGUGGAGCCAAUCCUGUAAAGCCGGUCUCAGUUCGAAUUGCAGGCUGCAACUCGCCUGCAUGAAGUCGGAGUUG
RNAcentral lists this ribosomal RNA (914 nucleotides) under uncultured Chloroflexota bacterium. RNAcentral's name for it is "bacterial SSU rRNA". It matches the Rfam family "Bacterial small subunit ribosomal RNA", at positions 390 to 1334 of the family's 1533-position model. Lineage: Bacteria; Bacillati; Chloroflexota. The record is from RNAcentral.